UUGGGGUUUAAAGUGUACGUAGGCGGGUUUUUCAAGUCAGAGGUGAAAAGCCCGGGGGCUCAACUCCGGAAUUGCCUUUGAAACUGGAAGACUUGAACAUGGGAGAGGUAAGUGGAAUUCCGAGUGUAGAGGUGAAAUUCGUAGAUAUUCGGAGGAACACCAGUGGCGAAGGCGGCUUACUGGACCAUUGUUGACGCUGAGGUACGAAAGCGUGGGGAGCAAACAGGAUUAGAUACCCUAGUA
Molecule: ribosomal RNA, 243 nt
Filed under: uncultured Pseudomonadota bacterium
Lineage: Bacteria; Pseudomonadati; Pseudomonadota
Description: uncultured proteobacterium partial 16S ribosomal RNA
Rfam family: Bacterial small subunit ribosomal RNA
Source: RNAcentral